AAUAAAGUGCUUUGCACAUACUUUAUUCAGGUAGCGCCACCUAUUGAUUGGGCUUAUUAAUACAACGUAUGCCGUGGCGAUGGUUGCAGAUGUGAAUUGGGCUGAUCUUAUGCUGAACAGCUGCGAGGGUGGUAAUUGACAAUGAUAUAGUGGGUGUGUGGCUUUGGUUCUUUUGUUGUUUUGAUGCUCUGUGCUAAAUAAUAAUUAAGAUUGUAGAAGAUAAGAGGAAAAAAAAAAAAAAGAAAGAAUAAAUCAUGAGUGGAAAUGCAGAGCAACCAACACUCGAUGGCAAUGAGGUAAUUCAAACUGAUACUCCAAUAAACCUGACAGUUGGCCAAAUAAAUGCAGAGCAAGGAGUGUCUGUAAGCUCUGUCAUGUCAAUCGCUACUAAUACAACCACCGUAGCCACAACAUCAACAGCCACAACAGAGUCAACUGCAGACCAAGAGGCUACAGAGACUCUACAUAGAAGUUCUACCAGCUCAGAAAUGUUUAAGUUGCUGCAAAUGCAAAGGCAGAACUUAGAGUUACAAAAUAAAAGUAUAGAAUCAAUGAAAAUCUUGAUGGAGCAUGUCCGGAUGGUUUCAGAAAAUUUUCUAGAAGCCGAAAGAUUCAGAAUAACAAAUAGAGGACAGAGCCGUAUGGAGAGUUCAUCUAGAGUAGA
Anthonomus grandis grandis is the source of this 664-nucleotide long non-coding RNA. RefSeq lists it as uncharacterized. The transcript is spliced from 3 exons. Lineage: Eukaryota; Metazoa; Arthropoda; Insecta; Coleoptera; Curculionidae. The record is from RefSeq and is a predicted model, not a curated record.